GACAGAGGAGCCAAGCGUUGUCCGGAUUGACUGGGCGUAAAGCGCACGCAGGCGGCCCGGCGCGUGGGGUGUGAAAGCUGGCGGCUUAACUGCCAGACGCCAUCCCAUACGGCUGGGCUCGAGCCCUGCAGAGGUCCAUGGAAUUGCCGGUGUAGUGGUGAAAUGCGUAGAGAUCGGCAGGAACACCCAGGGGGAAACCAGUGGACUGGGCAGGACGCUGACGCUGCAGGUGCGAA
This 236-nucleotide ribosomal RNA is filed under the name uncultured bacterium. RNAcentral describes it as "partial 16S ribosomal RNA". It matches the Rfam family "Bacterial small subunit ribosomal RNA", at positions 524 to 757 of the family's 1533-position model. The record is from RNAcentral.